CCUCUUAGGCAAAUCCGGGCGCAGGAUUCAAGGGACUGGGACGAGGAGUUUAGGCUCUGAAGCAAUCGGAAGUGGUUCCAAGAAAAGCCUCUAAGCUUCAGUCAUACGAGACCGUACCGCAAACCGACACAGGUGGGCGAGAUGAGUAUUCUAAGGCGCUUGAGAGAACUCGGGAGAAGGAACUCGGCAAAUUGGUACCGUAACUUCGGGAAAAGGUACGCCCUUGUAGCUUGGCUGAUUUACUUCAGUAGGGCGAACGGGUUGCAAUAAACUGGUGGCUGCGACUGUUUAAUAAAAACACAGCACUCUGCAAACACGAAAGUGGACGUAUAGGGUGUGACGCCUGCCCGGUGCUGGAAGAUUAAAUGAUGGGGUGCAAGCUCUUGAUUGAAGUCCCAGUAAACGGCGGCCGUAACUAUAACGGUCCUAAGGUAGCGAAAUUCCUUGUCGGGUAAGUUCCGACCUGCACGAAUGGCGUAACGAUGGCCACACUGUCUCCUCCCGAGACUCAGCGAAGUUGAAGUGUUUGUGAUGAUGCAAUCUACCCGCGGCUAGACGGAAAGACCCCAUGAACCUUUACUGUAGCUUUGCAUUGGACUUUGAAUCAAUCUGUGUAGGAUAGGUGGGAGGCUUUGAAGCGGGGACGCCAGUUCCCGUGGAGCCAACCUUGAAAUACCACCCUGGUUCAUUUGAGGUUCUAACCUUGGCCCGUUAUCCGGGUCGGGGACAGUGCAUGGUAGGCAGUUUGACUGGGGCGGUCUCCUCCUAAAGUGUAACGGAGGAGUUCGAAGGUACGCUUGGUACGGUCGGACAUCGUGCUAAUAGUGCAAUGGCAUAAGCGUGCUUAACUGCGAGACUGACAAGUCGAGCAGGUACGAAAGUAGGACAUAGUGAUCCGGUGGUUCUGUAUGGAAGGGCCAUCGCUCAACGGAUAAAAGGUACUCUGGGGAUAACAGGCUGAUUCCUCCCAAGAGUUCAUAUCGACGGGGGAGUUUGGCACCUCGAUGUCGGCUCAUCACAUCCUGGGGCUGUAGCCGGUCCCAAGGGUAUGGCUGUUCGCCAUUUAAAGUGGUACGUGAGCUGGGUUUAAAACGUCGUGAGACAGUUUGGUCCCUAUCUGCCGUGGGCGUUGGAAAUUUGAAGGGGGCUGCUCCUAGUACGAGAGGACCGGAGUGGACAGACCUCUGGUGUACCGGUUGUCACGCCAGUGGCAUUGCCGGGUAGCUAAGUCUGGAAGAGAUAACCGCUGAAAGCAUCUAAGCGGGAAACUUGCCUUAAGAUGAGAUUUCCCAGAGCCUUGAGCUC
RNAcentral lists this ribosomal RNA (1305 nucleotides) under metagenome. RNAcentral describes it as "bacterial LSU rRNA". It matches the Rfam family "Bacterial large subunit ribosomal RNA", at positions 1528 to 2827 of the family's 2925-position model. The record is from RNAcentral.